UAUCGUUUUAUUUUGUUUUGUUUUGUUUUAUUUUAUUUUAUUCUGUUUUAUUUUAUUCUGUUUUAUUUUAUUUUGUUUUGUUUUAUUUUGUUUUGUUUUAUUUUGUUUUGUUUUAUUCUGUUUUAUUUUGUUUUAUUCUGUUUUAUUUUGUUUUUUAUUUUGUUUUGUUUUAUUUUAUUUUGUUUUGUUUUUAUUUUAUUUUGUUUUGUUUUAUUUUAUUUUAUUUUGUUUUAUUUUAUUUUGUUUUAUUUUAUUUUGUUUUGUUUUUUUUAUUUUGUUUUAUUUUAUUUUAUUUUAUUUUGUUUUGUUUUAUUUUAUUUUGUUUUGUUCUAUUCUAUUCUAUUCUAUUCUAUUCUAUUCUAUUCUAUUCUACUUUGGGUUCUGGUUAGCAUUAGCCAAUGCACUGGGUGUGUGCGUGAUUUCUAGACGGUAAGUGGGUCGGUGUCCUUCAGUGCAUGCCUGAGACUACCUACCAGCAGUCCCCAAAACAUCUUCUAAACCAGUAGACAACAUUGGAACUGUUACAAUGCUCCAGCACUCGACAAAACUAUCUUAAUCUUUCUGUUCACAAGAUGUGUGCUAAGUGCUGGAAUAUUUAACAAUUCUCAUUGAAGUCUUUUCCUAUACUCUGUUUUCUUUUAGGGCUAGUUUAAGAACUCAGCAGGUGGGUCACUUUGUAGGUUGGCUCGGAUUUCCCUGGCUGUUAAUGAAAACACUUUUUUCCUCUUCUGUUGGCCAACAGGAAGGUGUGGGUGCAACAGGGGUUGAGUGACCGUCCAUAAGGACAGUGCAGAAGGACCGUCAGAUCUGCUCAGCUUGCUUAGCUAUGGAUGUUCGGCGAAUCCCAUAAGGCUUAUAACCGUACAGGAGCAAAGAGGGCACCAGGCUGUGACCGGCCUGAGGCUGCACCCGACCCAGGCCACCUUCCCGUUGGCCACAAUGCAGGAUUGUCAGGCGUGAGAGUCAAGACGGUGUCUGAUGGGCGAUUGCAGGUUACGAUGCUGGCCACACCUCUCCCACUUCUGGUUCAAAUGUGGGGCAAUUCCGUCCCUCAGGGAAGUAACACCCUGCACCGUGGGAGCCACACGCAGGACGUUUAG
Molecule: long non-coding RNA, 1100 nt
Filed under: Felis catus (domestic cat)
Lineage: Eukaryota; Metazoa; Chordata; Mammalia; Carnivora; Felidae
Description: lncRNA (ENSFCAG00000047490.1)
Source: RNAcentral